Oreochromis aureus is the source of this 379-nucleotide long non-coding RNA. Lineage: Eukaryota; Metazoa; Chordata; Actinopteri; Cichliformes; Cichlidae. The record is from Ensembl.
UGAAAGAAAAACUGUAAGAGAAAACUUCUUCAAGAAAGAGAGGUGACUGAGCAAUGGAGAAGCUGGAUAAUGUAACAGUAUCUGUCCUUAAAGGUUAUAUUUGAUAAUACAUUUGUGUGUAUCUGUGUGUGUAUGUAUAUGUGUAUAUAUAACAGUUUUGUUUGUGCAGUUAUGUGCUUGCACAGUUUAACUGGUGUUUGUCUUUUUGUUAGCUGCAAGCAUUGACGAGCGCAUGCUUUUAACAUUGACCCGUGAUGAUCUGAGGGACCUUUUUUCUGGGCCUGAGCACUUUCUCAGAAGAAAACAUGUGUGGUCAAUAAUUCAUCCUGAGGAAGACCAUCCGCUACCACAGAAACCUGAAACAACUUCUUCACCCAGG